GCGCCAGAGCGCAGCAUGCACCUUUCACUACCUUCGCAACCUUCCACGUGCGAUUAUUAACAUAAUGUUUUCCAUCGUAGAUCGCUUUUCGCGCAACGACGGCUUUCAUGAUCUGACAUACGCGCACGUCCAAGCCUAAGCAAAGCACUAACUCGAGAACUGGUUUUGCCGCGGAAUAUCCGAGUCACCGAACAAAGAAGACGGAAUCGAUUACGAUUAUGGUAUCCAAGAGAUAUGAUAUCCAAAUGUAUCAAGAGAUACGAUAGUAGAAGAAAAAACCGCGAUGAGAGAUAUUUACGGACACGACAGCAUGACUGGAAGUAAUCGCGUGGCAUCAAUAUUAGCCCGGUCUGGUCAAGAAUAGCCCAGGUGGGAAUCCCGUCUGACCACCUUGCGCCCUGAGAUCGGUCGGCGUCUAAAUUAGGGUGAAUGUGCCGUUGGAGGCAUAUUUUGCAUAUAUUAUCGUUAUUCAGUUAUCGAGUGGCCGUAUCAUGAUGCGACUGCUAAUAAUCGACACAAUUUUUGUUACGCGAGCUACGCAUAAUAUCGCUGUAAAUUUAACGAUCGGAAACAAAGCGGAGAUAAACAAAAUCAUACAUUGUGUUAUGGUAUAUGUAUAUCACUUAAAUUAAUGCACCAACUUACUUAUAUAUAGAGAGAAACAGCGUUAAUUUGUAGAAGUAGAGAAAUUUUCUAAUAAAGAAAUUAUGUGUAUCUCAUCAUUUAUAAUAUUAAUAAGAGAAACAAUAUCUUAUUAAAAUAUUUAGCGUUACUCGACAUUCAUUUUUAUUAAAUGAUUUGAGUAAGAUUACUCGCUACAAAUAAUAUGUACAAAGUAAAGUUGUUUCAUUAAUUAUUUACAUAGAGAGAUUACAUAAUAUAUCUUAUAUAAAAAUUUAAUUAAUUACAUAAGAUUUCACAUGUAAUAAGUAAUAGUAAAGCUUUAUAUUGGCCAUGUAUGGAAUUACUUCUAUCUUUUCGUGCAUUUUUAUUUUUUUGAUUUUGAUUGGUAAAGUUUCAAUUAUGUUAUCUUAUUUUUAUUUUUGAACGCCGUGAAAACACCUCCAUUUAAUCGAAACUAAAAAUGUCAACUUGUCGAUUGUUACAAUACUUAUUUUCAACUUUACCGACUUACAUUUCUAUAUCGCUUUGACAUCAAAGUGACGGCAUCUUUCGUCAAGUCCAUGAAAUUUUAAAUGAUUAAAGCACUGUUUUAUUCAACAUCGCCCAGAUCUUUUAUUUGUAAAAAUAUGAACUGUUUUUUUUCGUUGUUUUACUUUUUUUUUAAAUGAAUAUUUUAAGAGAUAUUUGUAAUAUGUUUAUCAAAAGUUUAAAUAUAUAUUAAUAUUAUAAGGUAAAUCUCUUAGUAGAGCGACAUUUCAUAUAACUCUAAAUUAUUCUAAAAUAAAAUAGUAUCAGAAGAUUGGAAAUAACAAAGCAUAAUAACAAUUAAUUUAUACUCAUAUUAUUUGGUUUACAGAAGUUAUUUAACAAACAUAUAGAUUGAAUCUAAAAAUCAGUCUGUAUAUAUAUAUAUAGACAUUCUUUUUUACAAACAUAUAAAUAUAGUCAGUUACAAAAAUAAAUGGAAUUUUUUUAUUCGGUUCUUGUCGCUUUGCAAAUUAUUACAAGCUACAUUUUGCAAAAUAUACGUUCGUAUAUAAAUUAAUUAUUGUUAAUGUAAGAUAUAUCGUCGCAAGAUUUUUGUAAAAAUUUGUAUCGUAUAAUAUUGUUUGUAGACUUAUAUAUGGAUUGUAUAUUAUUAUUAUUAUUAACUACAUUAUAUUAAAGCUAGUAUAUUAUUAUUAGCUUUAUUAUUAGUACAUUUCGUGAUCGGUAUCACCAACAACGGAACUAUGAUAAAAUGUGAUGUGUGAAAAUAUUUGAAAUAGUUAAAAAUAUUUCUCGUUGCUGGUGAAACCGAAAUUUGCUGAACACAUUUUCAUCUCUCCACAAAUACAGCGUUUUUAAUCAGAAAUACCACAUUAUAUUAUUACAAUUCGAUAUAAACAUAUAGAUCAUUGAAAUAAAUUCAGUUAGCGGAAAAAGAAGUUAUGAAAUUACUUGAAUGCAUUCUAUGUCAUAUUAUUUACCAAAUAGAAAAUUAUAAAGAAUUAGAAUAUUAUUUUAUAUUGAAGUUGUUUUCAUAAAAUAGAAAUAACAAGAUACAUGCAUCUAAGGGAUAUUGGAAGACAUUUAAUUAUCAAUAUAACGAAAAUAUUAAAAUAAAUAGAUAUGCAAACUAUUAAUCUUGUUUCAAAAAUUAGAAUCUAAACAAGCUUAUCCUUUUUUUUACAUAUGCAAUAUAUAAUAUAUGAGGAGUUUCAAAGAACAUUCACUGAUUGUGUUAACUACUGAGAAUAUUAAAUGUUACGCAGCAUAUGCAUUAAUCAGAAUUUGUGGAGUAUACGCUGUUAAGAUAUUGUUAAUUACAGGUUUGUCUGUGUUAAAAAUGUUAUUGGCCCCAUUCUGACUUCAUUAUAACAACAAUAGCACAAAAUUUCAACCACUAAGUGCUAUAUGUAAAUAUAUAGAGAUAACUCUAAACAAUUUGAACAAUUCUUAUAAACUCAUAACUCAUAAACAUAAAUUGUUUAUAUUUGAUAAUUCGUUCGUUUGGCAAUAUCACUACGCCAUUUUGAUUUUCGCAAUUAGGCA
Long non-coding RNA from Formica exsecta, 2658 nucleotides. RefSeq lists it as uncharacterized. The transcript is spliced from 2 exons. The record is from RefSeq and is a predicted model, not a curated record. Lineage: Eukaryota; Metazoa; Arthropoda; Insecta; Hymenoptera; Formicidae.